Molecule: ribosomal RNA, 300 nt
Filed under: uncultured Pyrobaculum sp.
Lineage: Archaea; Thermoproteati; Thermoproteota; Thermoprotei; Thermoproteales; Thermoproteaceae
Description: bacterial SSU rRNA
Rfam family: Bacterial small subunit ribosomal RNA
Source: RNAcentral
GCUAACCUGGGGCCAGCAGGCGCGGUAAUGAGGGGGGGUGGAGCUUGAUGCGGAAUUGCUGGGCGUAAAGGGUGCGUAGGUGGUUACGGAAGUUAGGUGUGAAAGUCCCGGGCUUAACCUGGGGAUUGCGCCUGAUACUGCGUGGCUAGAGUACUGUAGAGGAAAGUAGAAUUUCCGGUGUAGCGGUGAAAUGCGUAGAUAUCGGAAGGAAUAUCGGUGGCGAAGGCGACUUUCUGGACAGAUACUGACACUGAGGCACGAAAGCGUGGGGAGCAAACAGGAUUAGAUACCCGAGUAGUC